AUUAUAUUAGAUAGGGGGACUCAAUUUGUAUCAAGAUUUUAGAAAAUUCUAUUCAGCAUUCUAAAGAUGGAUAUAAAGCUUUUUUUGGCUUUUAUAAUUAUCAUUUUACUUAUUUUAUAAAUUCCUUUUACAAUAAAUCUAUAGAAGGAAAUUCAAAUGUAAGAUAAGACUAAGUACAUGAGUUCUACUUAUUACGGUCACACAAUUAACUGUGUUCCAAACCACUGAAAAUACUAAGGAAUACCACAAUAUUUUCUACUUCCUAAUAGUACUCCGUCGUCACUGAUAACAAUAAUGUAUAAUCCCUCACUAUCCUGAAAGAUAAUAAAUAAUCAUUCCAUAAUCCAAAUAUUGGAAUCCUUCACCACUAACUAUCCUUCUCAAUACACUUCUUUACAAAAUUUUAGAUUCUACACACUCUUUCUAAUGAAUCACUCUCAAUUUUCAACAUUCAAUAUAUUAUAAUCCUUCCAUUCAUAUCCAUUCUUCACAAAUAUUUCCAAUUAUUCUCUUUCAAUUCACUACUGUAUAACUCAACAUUCAAUAAAUCAAAUUCUUCCUUUGAUAAUAUUGAAUAUCCUUUCAUUCUAGAACAUUACUUCAUAUUUUUGAAAAACUAUCAAUAACUCUUCUCUUACAAAGAAAACAAAAUCCAAGAAAUAAACAAAGAAAGAGGUAGCACCAAGCUUAUCUUGGCUCAUGACUAUCAUAGUCUGGCCCUUAAACUAACUUCUAUAACUCCUAUAUACUUUCCCCUGAUUUUCUAGAUUCUAACCGUCAUUCCCUACUUAAUCAUUUUUCAUAACUAAUUCAAUCAUCCAUCCUCCUGAAUUGACUAUUCUAUG
Molecule: long non-coding RNA, 845 nt
Filed under: Physcomitrium patens
Lineage: Eukaryota; Viridiplantae; Streptophyta; Bryopsida; Funariales; Funariaceae
Description: long non-coding RNA (PPAT_LNC011772)
Source: RNAcentral